Molecule: long non-coding RNA, 3800 nt
Organism: Pan troglodytes (chimpanzee)
Lineage: Eukaryota; Metazoa; Chordata; Mammalia; Primates; Hominidae
Exons: 5
Source: RefSeq, a predicted model, not a curated record
ACUCGCCGCGCGCAACACUCACCAGGAAGUUGAUGUCGGCCGGGCGCACUAGGCGGUAGCUGCACGUCGCGCAAUCCUGGCUGCAUUCGGCCCGCACGGUCGCCAGGAGCCCGGGGCCGAGCAACAGCAGCCAAGUGCAAAGUGUCAGGAACCGCGCCAUGGACUGCGAAGAGAGAGGGACGCGUGCUUCGAGCCUGCCUGGGCGCAGAACGGGUCCCUCGGCAGGACCCUCGCCGCGACAGCCUCAGCAGGGGAUCGUCGAGCAAAAGCCCGCAGGAAUGCUCCUUUCUGGGGCCCCGCCCUCCCGGCCGACAGCUUUUAGGUAGACCUGGAGGCGACUCAGAUCGCCUCGCGGUUCCCGGGAUGGCGCGGUCGCCCCCAGCGCGAGGCUGCCUGGGGCACCCGGCUCUUAUCCUGGGCGUCCGCGGCCCAGGGCAAGAUUCCGGAGAGAACGCCGCAGACCAGGGGCGAGAGAGCGGGAGCCGGGGGAGGCAGGACAUUGACUGGGGUCACAAAGAAGAACGAGGGAACGCUGUUGGGGAACCCAUGCAAUGAAAUGUGAAGGGAAAGAGGGCGGGCAGACGUCCCCAAACCCGCGCAGCAAAGACAAGCUUCGGGCAAAUUCACUCACGUUGACGCUGUUCGGAUGGAGCAGGCCAAUUGGAAAAGCCGGGUUCCAGACACGACUCUAGAGGGAAGAGAAGAAGGAAGCUGAACUGACAUGAAACAAAAGAAGUCCGUUGUUUUGGAUUGAGUUCCAUACUUGGCUGGCCCAGAGAUUGAUCUCACCACCAUUCAGAGAUCCAAGAAGAAGCCACCUGUUGGAUUUAAGAAAACCCAGGCAGAUUUGGCAGUCUUCUUGAAAGGAAGUAAUGCUUAUUGUGGUCAGAAGAAAGAGUGAGGCAACUCAGGGUCUGAAAAAAGAGACAUGAAGAAUGCUGAGGACCAAUCCAUUCCAAGGUUCACUGUGGAAAUGGGGCCCAACCCUUAAAAGGUCACCAAUAAUGUGGAAUCCAUUUCGUGGAGACAAGCUACUUUUAGUCAAAAAUUGUAAGGCACGGUUUGUCAAGAUGGCCGAUACGCAACAGCUCCAGUCUACGCAUCCCAGCAUGAGCGAUGCAGAAGACGGGUGAUUUCUGCAUUUCCAACUGAGGUACCGGGUUCAUCUCACUGGGGCUUGUCGGACAGUGGGUGCAGGACAGUGGGUGAAGCCCACUGAGCAUGAGCCGAAGCAGGGCGAGGCAUCGCCUCACCCAGGAAGUGCAAGGGAUCAGAGAAUUCCCUUUCCUAGCCAAGGAAAGCUGUGACAGAUGGCACCUGGAAAAUUAGGUCACUCCCACCCUAAUAUUGCACUUUUCCAGUGGUCUUAGCAAACAACACACCAGGAGUUUAUAUCCCGCGCCUGGCCCAGAGGGUCCCACACCCACAGAGUCUAGCUCAUUGCUAGCAGAGCAGCCUGAGAUCGAACUGCAAGGCAGCAGCAAGGCUGGGAGAGGAGCGCCCACCAUUGCUGAGGCUUGAGUAGGUAAACAAAGCGGCUAGGAAACUUGAACUGGGUGGAGCCCACCGCAGCUCAAGGAGGCCUGCCUGCCUCUGUAGACUCCACCUCUGCAGCCAGGGCAUAGCUGAACAAAAGGCAGCAGAAACCUCUGCAGACUUAAAUGUCCCUGUCUGACAGUUUGGAAGAGAGUAGUGGUUCUCCCAGCAUGCAGCUGGAGAUCUGAGAAUGGACAAACUGCCUCCUCAAGUGGGUCCCUGACCCCCAAGUAGCCUAGCUGGGAGGCAUCCCCCAGUAGGGGCAGAAUGACACCUCACAUGGCCGGGUACCCCUCUGAGACGAAGCUUCCAGGGGAAAGAUCAGGCAGCAACAUUUGCUGUUCAGCAAUAUUCGCUGUUCUGCAGCUUCUGCUGCUGAUACCUAGGCAAACAGCGUCUGGAGUGGACCUCCAGCAAACUCCAACAGACCUGCAGAUGAGGAUCCUGACUGUUAGAAGGAAAACUAACAAACAGCAAGGACAUCCACACCAAAACCCCAUCUGUACGUCACCAUCAUCAAAGAACAAAGGUAGAUAAAACCACAAAAAUGGGGAAAAAACAGAGCAGAGAAGCUGAAAAUUCUAAAAAUCAGAGUGCCUCUCCCCCUCCAAAGGAAUGCAGCUCCUCGCCAACAAUGGAACAAAGCUGGAUGGAGAGUGACUUUGAUGAGUUGAGAGAAGAAGGCUUCAGACGAUCAAACUUCUCCGAGCUAAAGAAGGAAGAUCGAACCCAUCCCAAAGAAGCUAAAAAACUUUAAAAAAGAUUAGACAAAUGGCUAACUAGAAUAUCCAGUGUAGAGAAGUCCUUAAAUGAUCUGUUGGAGCUGAAAACCAUGGCAUGAGAACUACGCGAUGCAUGCACAAACUUCAGUAGCCGAUUUGAUCAAAUGGAAGAAAGGGUAUCAGUGAUUGAAGAUGAAAUGAAUGAAAUGAAGUGAGAAGAGAAGUUUAGAGAAAAAAGAGUAAAAAGAAAUGAACAAAGCCUCCAAGAAAUAUGGGACUAUGUGAAAAGACAAAAUCUAUGUCUGAUUGGUGUACCUGAAAGUGACAGGGAGAAUGGAACCAAGUUGGAAAACACUGCAGGAUAUUAUCCAGGAGAACUUCCCCAAUCUAGCAAGGCAGGCCAACGUUCAAAUUCAGGAACUACAGAGAACGCCACAAAGAUACUCCUCGAGAAGAGCAACUCCAAGACACAUAAUUGUCAGAUUCACCAAAGUUGAAAUGAAAGAAAAAAUGUUAAGGGCAGCCAGAGAGAAAGGUCAAGUUACCCACAAAGGGAAGCCCAUCACACUAACAGCUGAUCUCUCAGCCAAAACUCUACAAGCCAGAAAAGAGUGGGAGCCAAUAUUUAACAUUCUUAAAGAAAAGAAUUUUCAACCCAGAAUUUCAUAUCCAGCCAAACUAAGCUUCAUAAUUGAAGGAGAAAUAAAAUCCUUUACAGACAAGCAAAUGCUCAGAGAUUUUAUCACCACCAGGCCUGCCCUGCAAGAGCUCCUGAGGGAAGCACUAAACAUGGAAAGGAACAACUGGUACCAGCCACUGCAAAAACAUGCCAAAUUGUAAAGACCAUCAAGGCUAGGAAGAAACUGCAUCAACUAAUGAGCAAAAUAACCAGCUAACAUCAUAAUGACACAAUCGAAUUCACACAUAACAAUAUUAACCUUAAAUGUAAAUGGGCUAAAUUCUCCAAUUAAAAGACACAGAUUUGCAAAUUGGAUAAACAGUCAAGACCCAUCAGUGUGCUGUAUUCAGGAGACCCAUCUCACGUGCAGAGACACACAUAGGCUCAAAAUAAAGGGAUGGAGGAAGAUCUACCAAGCAAAUGGAAAACAAAAAAAGGCAGGGGUUGCAAUCCUAGUCUCUGAUAAAACAGACUUUAAAUCAACAAAGAUCAAAGGAGACAAAGAAGGCCAUUAUAUAAUGGUAAAGGGAUCAAUUCAAGAAGAAGAGCUAACUAUCCUAAAUAUAUAUGCACCCAAUACAGAAGCACCCAGAUUCAUAAAGCAAGUCCUUAGAGACCUACAAAGAGACUUAGACUCCCAAACAAUAAUAAUGGGAGACUUUAACACCCCACUGUCAACAUUAGACUGAUCAACAAGACACAAAGUUAACAAGGAUAUCCAGGAAUUGAACUCAGCUCUGCACCAAGCGGACCUAAUAGACAUCUACAGAACUCUCCACCCCAAAUCAACAGAGUAUACAUUAUUCUCAGCACCACAUCACACUUAUUCCAAAAUUGACCACAUAGUUGGAAGUAAAGCACUC